GCAAAGGGCCUCUGAGGGAGUAUUACAGUCGCCUCAUCCACCAGAAGCAUUUCCAGCACAUCCAGGUCUGCACCCCUUGGCUGGAGGGCCGAGGACUACCCCCGCUUCUAGGGUCGGUGGACCUGGGUGUCUGUCUGGACACAUCCUCCAGUGGCCUGGACCUGCCCAUGAAGGUGGUGGACAUGUUCAGGAGCUGUUUGCCUGCGUGUGCUGUGAACUUCAAGUGCUUACAUGAGCUGGUGAAACAUGAAGAAAAUGGCCUGGUCUUUGAGGACUCAGAGGAACUGGCAGCUCAGCUGCAGAUGCUUUUCUCAAACUUUCCUGAUCCUGCAGGCAAGCUAAACCAGUUCUGGAAGAACCUGCGGGAGUCGCAGCAGCUCUGAUGGGAUGAGAGCUGGGUGCAGACUGUGCUCCCUUUGGUUAUGGACACAUAACUCCUGGGCCAGAGGCUAAAACCCCAGGGCCCCUGCUGUCCUUCCCGCAGCUUCUUCUUGGUGUCUCAGGGCAAACCCUUUCGAGCAGCGCCUCCCAGUGGCCGGAAGCUGAAAU
RNAcentral lists this long non-coding RNA (549 nucleotides) under Homo sapiens (human). RNAcentral's name for it is "non-protein coding lnc-ZNF705E-1:19". The record is from RNAcentral. Lineage: Eukaryota; Metazoa; Chordata; Mammalia; Primates; Hominidae.